RNAcentral lists this ribosomal RNA (347 nucleotides) under uncultured bacterium. RNAcentral's name for it is "bacterial SSU rRNA". It matches the Rfam family "Bacterial small subunit ribosomal RNA", at positions 917 to 1267 of the family's 1533-position model. The record is from RNAcentral.
GGGCCCGCACAAGCGGUGGAGCAUGUGGUUUAAUUCGAUGAUACGCGAGGAACCUUACCAGGGUUUAAAUGCAGAACGACAGGGGUGGAAACACCCCCUUCUUCGGACGGACUGCAAGGUGCUGCAUGGUUGUCGUCAGCUCGUGCUGUGAAGUGUCGGGUUAAGUCCCAUAACGAGCGCAACCCCCAUUUCUAGUUGCCAGCGGUUCGGCCGGGGACUCUAACGGGACUGCCGGUGCAAACCGCGAGGAAGGUGGGGAUGACGUCAAAUCAUCACGGCCCUUACGUCCUGGGCUACACACGUGCUACAAUGGCCGGUACAGAGGGCAGCCACACCGCAAGGUGGAG